Molecule: long non-coding RNA, 956 nt
Organism: Mya arenaria
Lineage: Eukaryota; Metazoa; Mollusca; Bivalvia; Myida; Myidae
Exons: 7
Source: RefSeq, a predicted model, not a curated record
AGGUGGAAGACAUCUAACAGAAUGGCAGAUACAGUGGCGAAGACUUUGUUGGAGCAGAACAUUACUGUAUACCUGUAUGUGUCAAGAGAAAUAGCUAGACAUCUUCUUGACAGCCAAUGAUAGGAACUGCAUGUGUACAGGUCAAUGGCAAAGCUGACUGCUACCACACAGCCCACAGUAUCUCUAAGGCAACACAAUGCAAUUGGGAUGGAGCUGGAAGCUGUUCAAUUUGGUGACCAACAUCAUCAUUGAAAAUGGCAAUGCCUCCGUCUUUUCUCCAAUGAUUCCAGCGGUGGCCAGAUCUUUUGCAGGAUGAACAGCGACAUUGACAGCGCAGCACAGUGCAGAGACUUUGUCCAGUGUGACAUAGAAAGGAUAUCGGCAUCAAACAUUGUCCAGCCUCCAACCAAUCAGGAGAACUACUUUUUUCUGAAUCCCUACACCUGUCUGCUCACAGUGCAAAUAUAGCCUGCAAGACCUUCCUCUCAGACCAUUUGUACAUCACGGCGCAAGUCACACGUAUCCUCUUCAAGAAUACACAAUCAUCUUAGUCUGUUCCAGCCUGCAAGAUCUUCCUCCCAUACCAUUUGUACAUCACGGCGCAAGUCACACGCGUGCUCUUCAAGAAUAGGCAAUCACCUUAGUCUGUUCCAGCCUGCAAGAUCUUCCACUAGACCACCUUUACAUUAUCAUUGCAGAACGGAGCCUGGUGGGUGCUGUCCAAUUUCGGAGAGCAGUGCUGAGAGCAGACAUGAGACCAGCACCCGUCGGCUGAAAUCCCCCGCCAAUCCCAAAAGAUGGCCAAGAAAGACCUUCUACUGCAUCAACAGGGAAAAGGCCAGGAUUACGAUACAAGUGCAGAGACUAGAGAUGUGCCUACCACUCCCCCGCCAUCGAAUAUGAAAUGUAUAAAUGAAUUAUACAUGCAGCCUGAUUAUUAUGCAUUUGAACUUAAA